This 482-nucleotide ribosomal RNA is filed under the name uncultured bacterium. RNAcentral describes it as "partial 16S ribosomal RNA". It matches the Rfam family "Bacterial small subunit ribosomal RNA", at positions 28 to 523 of the family's 1533-position model. The record is from RNAcentral.
GACGAACGCUGGCGGCGCGCCUAACACAUGCAAGUCGAACGAGAAAGAAGGAGCUUGCUUCUUCGAUCGAGUGGCGAACGGGUGAGUAACGCGUGAGGAACCUGCCUCAAAGAGGGGGACAACAGUUGGAAACGACUGCUAAUACCGCAUAAGCCCACGGGUCGGCAUCGACCAGAGGGAAAAGGAGCAAUCCGCUUUGAGAUGGCCUCGCGUCCGAUUAGCUAGUUGGUGAGGUAACGGCCCACCAAGGCGACGAUCGGUAGCCGGACUGAGAGGUUGAACGGCCACAUUGGGACUGAGACACGGCCCAGACUCCUACGGGAGGCAGCAGUGGGGAAUAUUGCACAAUGGGGGAAACCCUGAUGCAGCGACGCCGCGUGGAGGAAGAAGGUCUUCGGAUUGUAAACUCCUGUUGUUGAGGAAGAUAAUGACGGUACUCAACAAGGAAGUGACGGCCAACUACGUGCCAGCCGCCGCGGUAA